RNAcentral lists this ribosomal RNA (225 nucleotides) under Salmonella enterica subsp. enterica serovar Aberdeen. Its description in RNAcentral is "partial 23S ribosomal RNA". It matches the Rfam family "Bacterial large subunit ribosomal RNA", at positions 2718 to 2925 of the family's 2925-position model. Lineage: Bacteria; Pseudomonadati; Pseudomonadota; Gammaproteobacteria; Enterobacterales; Enterobacteriaceae. The record is from RNAcentral.
GGGUUGUGAUGCAAAUUGCACUGUCCGGUUGCUUAUUGCUGAAUUGUUAUGUGCUGAAAGCAUCUAUGCACGAAACUUGCCCCGUGAUGUGUUCUCCCUGUGACUUUUGGUCUCCUGAAGGAACGUUGUAGACGACGUCGUUGUUAGGCCGGGUGUGUAAGCGCAGCGAUGCGUUGAGCUAACCGGUACUAAUGAACCGUGAGGCUUAACCUUACAACGCCGAAG